CUGUAGCUCAGUGGUAGAGCUUCUGUUUUGCAUGCAGAAAAGUCCCAGGUUCAAGCCCCAGUACAUCAAGA
Podarcis lilfordi (Lilford's wall lizard) is the source of this 71-nucleotide non-coding RNA. Lineage: Eukaryota; Metazoa; Chordata; Lepidosauria; Squamata; Lacertidae. The record is from the annotation of a GenBank genome assembly.